Molecule: unclassified non-coding RNA, 211 nt
Filed under: Hevea brasiliensis (rubber tree)
Lineage: Eukaryota; Viridiplantae; Streptophyta; Magnoliopsida; Malpighiales; Euphorbiaceae
Source: RNAcentral
AUUGAUAUAUUGAAAUUGUUGUAUGUUUGUGUAAAAUUUUAAUGUAUAUAUUUAAGUUUUUGAAUAAAAAUUUUUUUUUGGUUAGAGAAGAGAAAAUUGUAAUUAUGAGGGAGAAGUAUAUAGUUUUGAUGAAGUUUAUCGUAUUUGUUUUGGAGUAUGUGAGGAGUAUUAUAGCGGUUUUUGUAGAAAUAUUUUAUGAAAAAUGGUUUUA